RNAcentral lists this long non-coding RNA (229 nucleotides) under Elaeis guineensis (African oil palm). RNAcentral's name for it is "long non-coding RNA (EGUI_LNC042193)". The record is from RNAcentral. Lineage: Eukaryota; Viridiplantae; Streptophyta; Magnoliopsida; Arecales; Arecaceae.
CUGGGAUUGGAUAAACAUUAUCACUUUCUUAGUGGGCAACUCUUGAGCUUUUAUUGCAUAUCUUUUCGGCUUAAGUUGAAUGUCUCAAGGAGAAAUUAUAUCCUAUAUGGUGUGCACCAUGUGGCUGUGUAUAUCGAUAAAUACAGCCAUUUGUUCAUACAAAAGUGCACCAAGGUGGGUGCUUAAUAAUUGGAGCCUAUUGGAAUGAGUGAUUGCUAUUGACAAUGUG